AGGAUAAACGCUGGCGGCGUGCCUAACACAUGCAAGUCGAACGCGCUUUCGGGCUUCGGUGCGAGAGCGAGUGGCGGACGGGUGAGUAACACAUGGGUACCUACCUUGGAGUGAGGGAUACCGGCGAGAAAUCGCCGACAAUACCGCAUAGGCUUCUUCACAAGGGAAGCAAAGUGACGCGAGUCACGCUUUGAGAUGGGCCUGUGGCCGAUUAGCUAGUUGGGGGGGUAACGGCUUCCCAAGGCGACGAUCGGUAGCUGGUCUGAGAGGACGAUCAGCCACACUGGGAUUGAGAACGGCCCAGACUCCUACGGGGGGCAGCAGUGAGGAAUUUUCCGCAAUGGAGGCAACUCUGACGGAGCAACGCCGCGUGCAGGAGGAAGGUUUUCGGAUCGUAAACUGCUUUUCUCGGGGACGAGCAAGGACGGUACCGAGGAAGAAGCCCGGCUAACUACGCGCCAGCAGCCGC
RNAcentral lists this ribosomal RNA (469 nucleotides) under uncultured bacterium. Its description in RNAcentral is "SSU rRNA". It matches the Rfam family "Bacterial small subunit ribosomal RNA", at positions 26 to 518 of the family's 1533-position model. The record is from RNAcentral.